CUUGUAUUCAUGACUCAGCCUGUUAGUUAGCUGGGAUCCCUGGUGGACUAGUUUUUGUAUUUUUAGUAGAGGUGGGGUUUCACCAUGUUGGCCAGGCUGGUGUUGACUUCCUGAGGUCAAGUGAUCUUUCUUCUUGGGCCUCCUAAAUUGCUCUGAAUCCAGGCAUGAGUCACUGUGCUGGCGGCACAGAUUCUUUUUUAUGUAAAGCUUGUUAUAAUUCAUCCGUCAGUCCAUUCUCCUCUGUAAAUUUCUCUAAGCAUUUGUUGACCAUCACAUAUAACUAGAUAAAUCAGUAUUACUGCAGUGCUUCUGGAAAAUAGGGCAAUGUUUAAAGAUUUUGGGGGAAAACUUUUAAUUGCACUGACUUAGGUUAGAGGAUAAGUGAUUAAGAUCUAGCAGAUGAGAUUUUGUCCCAUGGAUCUGAAAAGCAGGCUCAUCUACUUCUGGGGUGACCUAAUCUAGGGACCAGUAGAACAUUCCCUUCAGAAUAUCACAUUCUGAAACGGAGAAUAUUUUUCAUCCUUGUGCUAUGACUAGACACUGAUUUGGUCUUGUGUGAAGUGCGAUUUGCUUAAUGUGACCUUCUCUUCUGAAUUUGUUUACAGAAGAUCGGAGACGUCACGAGGAAGAACAGAAAUACAGAGACAGCAAAAAUAAACUUCUUAUGAGUCAAGACUACCCGGGCUGCAGGCUGAAGACGGAAAAAAGUCAAAGUGAUGAUGAGGAAGAGGAAGAAAAAGGGCCAGUGUCCACCAGGAAUCUGCAGGAGUCUGUGGAGGAGGAAGCCCCCCAGGAGUCCUGGGAUGAAGAUUAUUCGACUCUCUCAAUUCCUCCUGGCACAUUUGCCUUCAAUGAGCCUUACAGGACCAACCUGCACUCAUUAGAGGAACAGCAGGUCAACUUGGCUCAUGACAUAGACAGUGAGUACUCUGUUGUGAAAGUGGUAAAGCUCCACUUUGUGUCCCAGAUAGACCCCAUAGUCUUUGUGCAUUGCUCCCCAGGCUGGGCUGAGAGUUGUCAUCACUGUGGGCUGAACCUAUCCAUCAGUGCAGAUUUCAAUCACUCCGGAUUCCAGUCUGAAGCAUGGGCAUGGGGUGGGUCAGUGAGCUUUGCUCUCUCUCUAGUCUCAGUCCAUGCCUGUGGCACCCUGGACCAACUGUCAGGACAUUGGAACCCAAGGCAGGUGUUGCAAACUCACACCAAGCUAUGCAGCACAUGCCCACGAGUUGUCUGUGAAUCUGAAUUAAACGUCUCUUGCCAGCUAACAAGUUCCUCAUGA
RNAcentral lists this long non-coding RNA (1279 nucleotides) under Callithrix jacchus (white-tufted-ear marmoset). Its description in RNAcentral is "lncRNA (ENSCJAG00000074630.1)". Lineage: Eukaryota; Metazoa; Chordata; Mammalia; Primates; Cebidae. The record is from RNAcentral.